RNAcentral lists this long non-coding RNA (312 nucleotides) under Sorghum bicolor (sorghum). Its description in RNAcentral is "long non-coding RNA (SBIC_LNC017007)". Lineage: Eukaryota; Viridiplantae; Streptophyta; Magnoliopsida; Poales; Poaceae. The record is from RNAcentral.
UCAUCUCUUUCUGUGGUUAGUGUUCUGAUGUCCCGAAAUAAAUAAUCUUUGAAGUAAUUCUUGAUUCUUAGAUCAACUAGAGAACUCUUAGGAAACUUCCUCUCUUCCCACCAAAAAUAAUUAUAUAGUUAUCCUUGGGCGAUCAUGGAUCUUAAUUAGUACACUCACGUUCCCUGUGGAAAAUCGAUACUCUGGAAUACUCUCGGGUGAAAGCUACAUCGGUAUCCGUGCGCUUGCGGAUUUUUCUGUUUGCGUUUAAAAUACUCAACAUCUGGUACCUAGCAUAUCUGGAUACAAGUUUUAUUUGGUUCU